This 233-nucleotide ribosomal RNA is filed under the name uncultured bacterium. Its description in RNAcentral is "partial 16S ribosomal RNA". It matches the Rfam family "Bacterial small subunit ribosomal RNA", at positions 109 to 334 of the family's 1533-position model. The record is from RNAcentral.
AGUAAUACAUAAGUAACCUGCCCUAGACAGGGGGGUAACGUAUUGGAAACGAUAGCUAAGACCGCAUAGGUACGGACACUGCAUGGUGACCGUAUUAAAAGUGCCUCAAAGCACUGGUAGAGGAUGGACUUAUGGCGCAUUAGCUGGUUGGCGGGGUAACGGCCCACCAAGGCGACGAUGCGUAGCCGACCUGAGAGGGUGACCGGCCACACUGGGACUGAGACACGGCCCAG